Molecule: ribosomal RNA, 465 nt
Filed under: uncultured bacterium
Lineage: Bacteria
Description: bacterial SSU rRNA
Rfam family: Bacterial small subunit ribosomal RNA
Source: RNAcentral
GGGCCCGCACAAGCGGUGGAGCAUGUGGUUUAAUUCGACGCAACGCGAAGAACCUUACCUGGGCUCGAAAUGUAGUGGACCGCGGUAGAAAUAUCGCUUCCCAGCAAUGGGCCGCUAUAUAGGUGCUGCAUGGCUGUCGUCAGCUCGUGUCGUGAGAUGUUGGGUUAAGUCCCGCAACGAGCGCAACCCUUAUUACCAGUUGCUACCAUUUAGUUGAGCACUCUGGUGAGACCGCCUCGGAUAACGGGGAGGAAGGCGGGGAUGACGUCAAGUCCUCAUGGCCUUUAUGUCCAGGGCUACACACGUGCUACAAUGGCCGGUACAAACCGUCGCAAACCCGUGAGGGGGAGCUAAUCGGAAAAAGCCGGCCUCAGUUCGGAUUGGAGUCUGCAACUCGACUCCAUGAAGCUGGAAUCGCUAGUAAUCGCAGAUCAGAACGCUGCGGUGAAUACGUUCCCGGGCCUU